Molecule: ribosomal RNA, 1368 nt
Filed under: uncultured bacterium
Lineage: Bacteria
Description: bacterial SSU rRNA
Rfam family: Bacterial small subunit ribosomal RNA
Source: RNAcentral
GACGAACGCUGGCGGCGUGCUUAACACAUGCAAGUCGAACGGAAAGGCCCGCAUCAUUUUUGUGGGGGGGGUGCUCGAGUGGCGAACGGGUGAGUAACACGUGGGUGAUCUGCCCUGUACUUCGGGAUAAGCUUGGGAAACUGGGUCUAAUACCGGAUAGGACCAUGGUUUAGUGUCUCAUGGUGGAAAGAUUAUUGUUUUGGUGCAGGAUGAGCUCGCGGCCUAUCAGCUUGUUGGUGGGGUAAUGGCCUACCAAGGCGUCGACGGGUAGCCGGCCUGAGAGGGUGGACGGCCACAUUGGGACUGAGAUACGGCCCAGACUCCUACGGGAGGCAGCAGUGGGGAAUAUUGCACAAUGGGCGCAAGCCUGAUGCAGCGACGCCGCGUGGGGGAUGACGGCCUUCGGGUUGUAAACUCCUUUCGUUAGGGACGAAGCCACAUUUUUUGGGUGUGGUGACGGUACCUUUGUUAAGAAGCACCGGCUAACUACGUGCCAGCAGCCGCGGUAAUACGUAGGGUGCGAGCGUUGUCCGGAAUUAUUGGGCGUAAAGAGCUCGUAGGUGGUUUGUUGCGUCGUCUGUGAAAUUCCGGGGCUUAACUUCGGGGUGGCAGGCGAUACGGGCAUAACUAGAGUGCUGUAGGGGAGACUGGAAUUCCUGGUGUAGCGGUGGAAUGCGCAGAUAUCAGGAGGAACACCGAUGGCGAAGGCAGGUCUCUGGGCAGUAACUGACGCUGAGGAGCGAAAGCAUGGGGAGCGAACAGGAUUAGAUACCCUGGUAGUCCAUGCUGUAAACGGUGGGCGUUAGGUGUGGGGACCGGUUUGGUUUCUGUGCCGUAGCUAACGCAUUAAGCGCCCCGCCUGGGGAGUACGGCCGCAAGGCUAAAACUCAAAGGAAUUGACGGGGGCCCGCACAAGCGGCGGAGCAUGUGGAUUAAUUCGACGCAACGCGAAGAACCUUACCUGGGUUUGACAUGCACCAGACGGUUGUAGAGAUACGUACCUCCCUUUGUGGUUGGUGUGCAGGUGGUGCAUGGUUGUCGUCAGCUCGUGUCGUGAGAUGUUGGGUUAAGUCCCGCAACGAGCGCAACCCUUGUCUUAUGUUGCCAGCACUUUGGGUGGGGACUCAUGAGAGACUGCCGGGGUUAACUCGGAGGAAGGUGGGGAUGACGUCAAAUCAUCAUGCCCUUUAUGCCCAGGGCUUCACACAUGCUACAAUGGUUAGUACAACGCGCUGCGAACCUGUGAGGGUGAGCGAAUCGCUGAAAGCUAAUCUCAGUUCGGAUUGGGGUCUGCAACUCGACCCCAUGAAGUCGGAGUCGCUAGUAAUCGCAGAUCAGCAAUGCUGCGGUGAAUACGUUCCCGGGCCU